UACGUAGGGUGCAAGCGUUGUCCGGAAUUAUUGGGCGUAAAGAGCUCGUAGGCGGUUUGUCGCGUCGGCUGUGAAAACCUGGGGCUCAACCCCGGGCCUGCAGCCGAUACGGGCAGACUAGAGUGCGGUAGGGGAGAUUGGAAUUCCUGGUGUAGCGGUGGAAUGCGCAGAUAUUAGGAAGGAACACCGGUGGCGAAGGCGGCUCUCUGGAACGGUACCGACGCUGAGACGCGAAAGCCGUGGGGAGCAAACAGG
Molecule: ribosomal RNA, 255 nt
Filed under: uncultured bacterium
Lineage: Bacteria
Description: partial 16S ribosomal RNA
Rfam family: Bacterial small subunit ribosomal RNA
Source: RNAcentral